UGUCAAUGUGAAAUGUUUAACAAUUUGUUUCGGUAUAAAAGCUGUACUUGCCGCCUUUUGUCCCAUUCAACAAGAGUCCAAGGAUGAAGGUCCUGAUUCACUUAACCUUGGCUUUUUUGGUAACAUGGAGUCGCAAAGGAGAUUGCUGCACUCGUUUGGGUUGGAUUUGCGGGCCAAGUAAUUUUGUCGACGGAUUUGCACUCCCUCGGGACCAUUCAGAACCCUAUCAUUGUUACCAAGCUUGUGGGCAGAGCAAACAUUGGUUAAAAAUCAAUUACAUGUCCAUGUAUAACAUUGGCAAUGAACUAGUUUUUUGCUACUGUCUUCCAUACUGCGAUCUGAUCCAGGCACUUCCGUGGAAAUUGAAAGUUGCAUCGGUCGGUUUAUUUUUUGGCAAAAGCGAUGUUGCCAAAGUGUGCAUGAAUUGGAAAUAAAGUCCUUUGCCCUGCA
Tigriopus californicus is the source of this 450-nucleotide long non-coding RNA. RefSeq lists it as uncharacterized. NCBI's taxonomy places the organism in Eukaryota, Metazoa, Arthropoda, Copepoda, Harpacticoida, Harpacticidae. The record is from RefSeq and is a predicted model, not a curated record. The transcript has 3 exons.